RNAcentral lists this non-coding RNA (151 nucleotides) under Pan paniscus (pygmy chimpanzee). Lineage: Eukaryota; Metazoa; Chordata; Mammalia; Primates; Hominidae. The record is from Rfam by way of RNAcentral. RNAcentral also lists the same sequence under 1 other name.
GCCGGGCGUGGUGGUGCGUGCCUGUAAUCCCAGCUACUCAGGAGGCUGAGGCAGGAGAAUCACUUGAACCCAGGAGGCGGAGGUUGUAGUAGUAAGCCAAGAUCAAGCCACUGCACUUCAGCCUGGGCAACAGAGUGAGACUCUGUCUCAA